RNAcentral lists this ribosomal RNA (441 nucleotides) under uncultured bacterium. RNAcentral's name for it is "partial 16S ribosomal RNA". It matches the Rfam family "Bacterial small subunit ribosomal RNA", at positions 338 to 795 of the family's 1533-position model. The record is from RNAcentral.
CCUACGGGUGGCAGCAGUCGGGAAUAUUGCGCAAUGGAGGAAACUCUGAUGCAGCGACGCCGCGUGAAGGAAGACGGUCCUCUGAUUGGUAAACGCCUGUGACAGGGGACGAAAAUGACAGUACCUGGAGAGUAAGCUCCGGCUAACUACGUGCCAGCAGCCGCGGUAAUACGUAGGGAGCAAGCGUUAUCCGGAUUUACUGGGUGUAAAGGGGGCGUAGGCGGAUAAGCAAGUUAGUUGUGAAAUCCAUCGGCUUAACUGAGGAACUGCAACUAAAACUACUUACCUGGAGUACAGGAGAGGAAGGCGGAAUUCCUAGUGUAGCGGUGAAAUGCGUAGAUAUUAGGAGGAACACCAGGGGCGAAGGCGGCUAUCUGGCCAUUUACUGACGCUGAGGCUCGAAAGUGUGGGGAGCAAACAGGAUUAGAUACCCUUGUAGUC